Molecule: unclassified non-coding RNA, 366 nt
Filed under: soil metagenome
Description: partial contains 5.8S ribosomal RNA, internal transcribed spacer 2, and large subunit ribosomal RNA
Rfam family: 5.8S ribosomal RNA (bases 1-120)
Source: RNAcentral
GUUGAAGAACGUAGCGAAAUGCGAUAACUAAUGUGAAUUGCAGAAUUCCGUGAAUCAUCGAGUCUUUGAACGCACAUUGAGCCCCCUGGUAUUCCGGGGGGCACGCCUGUCCGAGCGUCAUUACAACCCUCAAGCCCGGCUUGUGUAAUGGGCGGCCGUCUCUCCCCCCGGGGGGAGACGCCCCCGAAACUCAGUGGGGAUGUCGCGAUACCGAAGCCUCAGCUAAUGGGUAAACCACAGCUGCAAUGGCCGCGGCCGGCGUCCGCCUUCCACGGUCCGUCCGCCUAGCGCGGGCGGCCUUCUCAAGGUUGACCUCGGAUCAGGUAGGGAUACCCGCUGAACUUAAGCAUAUCAAUAAGCGGAGGA